This 348-nucleotide ribosomal RNA is filed under the name Triticum aestivum (bread wheat). Its description in RNAcentral is "partial small subunit ribosomal RNA". The record is from RNAcentral. Lineage: Eukaryota; Viridiplantae; Streptophyta; Magnoliopsida; Poales; Poaceae.
AUGUGCAACCCAAAGAACAAAGGUGGCAUGGGUUUUAGAGAUAUCCAUUGUUUUAAUGUUGCUCUCUUAACUAAACAGGCUUGGAGGCUCAUUGACAACCCGGAUUCACUAUGCGCCUUGAUCCUUAAGGCAAAAAAAAUCGACGGAGAUCUUAUCAAUGCAAUUUUGAAAAGGAAAGCUUCUUACACAUGGCAGAGUAUUAUGGCAGGAGUUGAAACACUGAGACCUGAACAUAUUUGGAGAGUUGGUGACGGUGAGAAAAUCAAUAUAUGGGAAGAUUCUAGGAUCGUGCAGAGUGCAUUAAGAAAGGCUAUAACACCUAAAGGAAACAAUCAUAUGAUGGGUUAG